RNAcentral lists this non-coding RNA (101 nucleotides) under Porphyridium aerugineum. The record is from RNAcentral. Lineage: Eukaryota; Rhodophyta; Bangiophyceae; Porphyridiales; Porphyridiaceae.
AAUAAAUUUUACUGAUCAGGGUUUGGGUUUCCCGCCUCUCCUUCUUUUUUCUUUCUUUUUUCUUUCCUUUUUCUUUCCUUUUUCCCCUUUCUAAGUUUCAU